ACGCUAGCUACAGGCUUAACACAUGCAAGUCGAGGGGCAGCAUCAUCAAAGCUUGCUUUGAUGGAUGGCGACCGGCGCACGGGUGAGUAACACGUAUCCAACCUGCCGACAACACUGGGAUAGCCUUUCGAAAGAAAGAUUAAUACCGGAUGGCAUAAUUAUUCCGCAUGGGAUAAUUAUUAAAGAAUUUCGGUUGUCGAUGGGGAUGCGUUCCAUUAGGCAGUUGGCGGGGUAACGGCCCACCAAACCUACGAUGGAUAGGGGUUCUGAGAGGAAGGUCCCCCACAUUGGAACUGAGACACGGUCCAAACUCCUACGGGAGGCAGCAGUGAGGAAUAUUGGUCAAUGGACGAGAGUCUGAACCAGCCAAGUAGCGUGAAGGAUGACUGCCCUAUGGGUUGUAAACUUCUUUUAUACGGGAAUAAAGUUAGCCACGUGUGGUGUUUUGUAUGUACCGUAUGAAUAAGGAUCGGCUAACUCCGUGCCAGCAGCCGCGGUAAUACGGAGGAUCCGAGCGUUAUCCGGAUUUAUUGGGUUUAAAGGGAGCGUAGGCGGGUUGUUAAGUCAGUUGUGAAAGUUUGCGGCUCAACCGUAAAAUUGCAGUUGAUACUGGCGACCUUGAGUGCAACAGAGGUAGGCGGAAUUCGUGGUGUAGCGGUGAAAUGCUUAGAUAUCACGAAGAACUCCGAUUGCGAAGGCAGCUUACUGGAUUGUAACUGACGCUGAUGCUCGAAAGUGUGGGUAUCAAACAGGAUUAGAUACCCUGGUAGUCCACACAGUAAACGAUGAAUACUCGCUGUUGGCGAUAUACGGUCAGCGGCCAAGCGAAAGCAUUAAGUAUUCCACCUGGGGAGUACGCCGGCAACGGUGAAACCCAAAGGAAUUGACGGGGGCCCGCACAAGCGGAGGAACAUGUGGUUUAAUUCGAUGAUACGCGAGGAACCUUACCCGGGCUUAAAUUGCAACUGACGGAAUCGGAAACGGUUCUUUCUUCGGACAGUUGUGAAGGUGCUGCAUGGUUGUCGUCAGCUCGUGCCGUGAGGUGUCGGCUUAAGUGCCAUAACGAACGCAACCCUUACGGGUAGUUACCAUCAGGUUAUGCUGGGGACUCUACCCGGACUGCCGUCGUAAGAUGUGAGGAAGGUGGGGAUGACGUCAAAUCAGCACGGCCCUUACGUCCGGGGCUACACACGUGUUACAAUGGGGGGUACAGAAGGCAGCUACACGGCGACGUGGUGCUAAUCCCAAAAGCCUCUCUCAGUUCGGAUUGGAGUCUGCAACCCGACUCCAUGAAGCUGGAUUCGCUAGUAAUCGCGCAUCAGCCACGGCGCGGUGAAUACGUUCCCGGGCCUUGUACACACCGCCCGUCAAGCCAUGAAAGCCGGGGGUACCUGAAGUACGUAACCGCGAGGAGCGUCCUAGGGUAAAACUGGUGAUUG
Molecule: ribosomal RNA, 1439 nt
Filed under: uncultured organism
Description: SSU rRNA
Rfam family: Bacterial small subunit ribosomal RNA
Source: RNAcentral